RNAcentral lists this ribosomal RNA (463 nucleotides) under uncultured bacterium. Its description in RNAcentral is "bacterial SSU rRNA". It matches the Rfam family "Bacterial small subunit ribosomal RNA", at positions 330 to 792 of the family's 1533-position model. The record is from RNAcentral.
ACCAGACUCCUACGGGAGGCAGCAGUGAGGAAUAUUGGUCAAUGGGCGAGAGCCUGAACCAGCCAAGUCGCGUGAGGAAGUACUGCCCUAUGGGUUGUAAACCUCUUUUGUCGGGGAGCAAAAGCCGGACGUGUCCGGCUGUGAGAGUACCCGAAGAAAAAGCAUCGGCUAACUCCGUGCCAGCAGCCGCGGUAAUACGGAGGAUGCGAGCGUUAUCCGGAUUUAUUGGGUUUAAAGGGUGCGUAGGCGGGCAUUUAAGCCGGCGGUCAAAUGUCGGGGCUCAACCCCGGCCUGCCGUCGGAACUGGGUGCCUUGAGUGGGCGAGAAGUAUGCGGAAUGCGUGGUGUAGCGGUGAAAUGCAUAGAUAUCACGCAGAACCCCGAUUGCGAAGGCAGCAUACCGGCGGCGAUCUGACGCUGAGGCACGAAAGCGUGGGUAUCGAACAGGAUUAGAUACCCCCGUA